GCCAGGUGCAGUGGUGCACGCCUGUAAUCCCAGUAGCUCAGGAGGCUGAGGCAGGAGGAUCAAGAGUUCAAAGCCAGCCUCAGCAAAAGCAAGGCACUGAGCAACUCAGUGAGACCCUGUCUCUA
This 125-nucleotide small RNA is filed under the name Marmota monax (woodchuck). The record is from RNAcentral. Lineage: Eukaryota; Metazoa; Chordata; Mammalia; Rodentia; Sciuridae.